GAGCGAACAGGAUUAGAUAGCCUGGUAGUCCACGCCGUAAACGGUGGGCGCUAGUUGUGGGGACCUUCCACGGUCUCUGCGACGCAGCUAACGCGUUAAGCGCCCCGCCUGGGGAGUACGAUCGCAAGAUUAAAACUCAAAGGAAUUGACGGGGCCCCGCACAAGCAGCGGAGCAUGCGGCUUAAUUCGACGCAACGCGAAGAACCUUACCAAGGCUUGACAUAUAGGGAAAAGCGGCAGAGAUGUCGUGUCCGCAAGGGCUCUAUACAGGUGGUGCAUGAUUGUCGUCAGCUCGUGUCGUGAGAUGUUGGGUUAAGUCCCGCAACGAGCGCAACCCUCGUUCUGUGUUGCCAGCAUUUAGUUGGGGACUCACAGGAGACUGCCGGGGUUAACUCGGAGGAAGGUGGGGAUGACGUCAAAUCAUCAUGCCCCUUAUGUCUUGGGCUGCACGCAUGCUACAAUGGCCGAUACAAAGGGCUGCGAUACCGCAAGGUGGAGCGAAUCCCAAAAAGUCGGUCUCAGUUCGGAUUGAGGUCUGCAACUCGACCUCAUGAAGUCGGAGUUGCUAGUAAUCGUAGAUCAGCAACGCUACGGUGAAUACGUUCCCGGGGCUUGUACACACCGCCCGUCACGUCACGAAAGUCGGUAACACCCAAAGUCAGUGGCCCAACC
This 672-nucleotide ribosomal RNA is filed under the name uncultured Actinomycetes bacterium. RNAcentral describes it as "bacterial SSU rRNA". It matches the Rfam family "Bacterial small subunit ribosomal RNA", at positions 766 to 1440 of the family's 1533-position model. Lineage: Bacteria; Bacillati; Actinomycetota; Actinomycetes. The record is from RNAcentral.